GNCAUNCCGANNGCCUACACAUGCAAGUCGAGGGGCAGCACAUGAAGUAGCAAUACGGAUGGUGGCGACCGGCGCACGGGUGAGUAACGCGUAUGCAAUCUGCCUACAACAAGGGAAUAACCCGUUGAAAAACGGACUAAUACCCUAUAAUACAGGGGUCCCGCAUGGGAAUAUUUGUUAAAGAUUUAUCGGUUGUAGAUGAGCAUGCGUUCCAUUAGCUAGUUGGUGAGGUAACGGCCCACCAAGGCAACGAUGGAUAGGGGAACUGAGAGGUUUAUCCCCCACACUGGUACUGAGACACGGACCAGACUCCUACGGGAGGCAGCAGUGAGGAAUAUUGGUCAAUGGACGCAAGCCUGAACCAGCCACGUCGCGUGAAGGAAGACGGCCCUACGGGUUGUAAACUUCUUUUGUAAGGGAAUAAAGUGCAGUACGUGUACUGUUUUGCAUGUACCUUACGAAUAAGGAUCGGCUAACUCCGUGCCAGCAGCCGCGGUAAUACGGAGGAUCCAAGCGUUAUCCGGAUUUAUUGGGUUUAAAGGGUGCGCACGCGGAAAAUUAAGUCGGCGGUGAAAUUUUGCAGCUCAACUGUAAAAGUGCCUUCCAAACUGGUUUUCUUGAGUGUGGAUGAAGUAGGCGGAAUUUGUGGUGUAGCGGUGAAAUGCAUACAUAUCAAGAGGUACUCCAAUUGAUAACGCGCCUUACUCCCCCAU
This 713-nucleotide ribosomal RNA is filed under the name Porphyromonadaceae bacterium MF09_Ms. RNAcentral describes it as "bacterial SSU rRNA". It matches the Rfam family "Bacterial small subunit ribosomal RNA", at positions 35 to 737 of the family's 1533-position model. The record is from RNAcentral. Lineage: Bacteria; Pseudomonadati; Bacteroidota; Bacteroidia; Bacteroidales; Porphyromonadaceae.